CCUACGGGAGGCAGCAGUGGGGAAUAUUGCACAAUGGGGGAAACCCUGAUGCAGCGACGCCGCGUGAAGGAAGAAGUAUUUCGGUAUGUAAACUUCUAUCAGCAGGGAAGAAAAUGACGGUACCUGACUAAGAAGCCCCGGCUAACUACGUGCCAGCAGCCGCGGUAAUACGUAGGGGGCAAGCGUUAUCCGGAUUUACUGGGUGUAAAGGGAGCGUAGGCGGUUUAGCAAGUCAGAAGUGAAAGCUCGGGGCUCAACCUCCGAAUUGCAUUUGAAACUGUUUUUCUUGAGUACUGGAGAGGCAGACGGAAUUCCUUGUGUAGCGGUGAAAUGCGUAGAUAUAAGGAGGAACACCAGUGGCGAAGGCAGUCUGCUGGACAGCAACUGACGGUGAGGCGCGAAAGCGUGGGGAGCAAACAGGAUUAGAUACCCCAGUAGUC
Molecule: ribosomal RNA, 440 nt
Filed under: uncultured bacterium
Lineage: Bacteria
Description: partial 16S ribosomal RNA
Rfam family: Bacterial small subunit ribosomal RNA
Source: RNAcentral